This is a long non-coding RNA of Myotis daubentonii (Daubenton's bat), 1772 nucleotides long. RefSeq lists it as uncharacterized. The record is from RefSeq and is a predicted model, not a curated record. Lineage: Eukaryota; Metazoa; Chordata; Mammalia; Chiroptera; Vespertilionidae.
AACUGCUCCCUGCUUUCUGUUCCCCCUCUCAAUCUUCUCACCUCCGUCUCCAUCCUGACUUGGUAUUUCUUAUGCCAUAUGUCUGCCCCAAAUCCCUUUAUUCUUGAAGUUCUCAGCCUCUUGACAUUUUUCUAUCCCAAUCCCCGGUCCUAGGACAUGAUCCUCAGAGAAGGGUCACAUCACAGACCUCCCUCCCUCUCUCUCUCCCUCCCUCCCUCCUUCCCUCUUUCCUCUCUCUCUUCUUCCCUCCUUCCUCCUUCCCUUCCUCUGCUAAAUCAGUGGCUCUUGAUCAUUGGUAUGCAUGAUGGGAAUAGACAAGGCUGUAUGUCUGCCAUCUGUGUCUGUUUCUAUGAGCACUUUAAUGAGAUUAAGGAUAUUUUGACUCUGUACCAUCUCCACCUUCCUCACUGACUCUAGAGCAAGCAUGUCAAACUUGCAGCCCACCGGCCGCAUACAGCCCACAACGAAUAUUUUUGUGGCCCAGCCAAUAUAAGCCCUUUGUAUUCAGCAUGUCUCUACUGAAAUAAACCUACAUUUCUGUGAAAAUUGAAGCUUUGGCGGUCACAUACACUUCCACCUUGCUUAUUUGGCCCGUGUGAGCCUGGGAGUCUGGCAUUCCUGUCUGGAGCCUAGCUCCUGUGUAAGCUGUUCUCCAAAGGGCGGGCCAGUGAGAAGACGCCAUUCCCUUCCCAGGCCCGCGGCUGAGCCGCAGGCGCAUGCGAGGGGCCCGGGCUGAGAGAGCAGCCUUCCCCUUCUCACCUGGCAUCACAGGACACCCCGUCAAAGAAGCAGGUGACCAGCAGCUCCUCGGCCGAGUAGCUCAUGUUGAUUUUCUUCUCCAGUGGCACCUGCGCCAUGAUGUUCAUGUAGUGCAGCUUGUACCACUCCUGGAUGGCAUUGACGCCUGAGCUGAAGGUGUACGUAGCACAGUGGGAUGUGCCAUUCGAACACUGCGAAUAAGAGGAGACGUGAGCCUGAGGCCGUCAGCCCCAGCACUGGCCCACAGCAGGCCUGGAAGGGGCCUGGGACUGGAGUCAGGAGGUCUCACAAUCAGCACUCAAGGCUAGAAGGUAUAGAAGUAGCUCUCAGCCCGUGGCGGUGGCUGGGGCAUGCAGAGGACGGUGGUGAUUGAGUUUGCCCAGGAAGGUAGGUGAUGAAUCUCAUUUUUGGUGAAGGGCUACUUUUUCUGAGCCCCUCAAAUGGGACUAAGAAGGAGAGAUCAGAUGCGUGCCCCCCGCAAAGGCAAGCAAUGCAGGGGACACUGGGUGUUCUGCUGUUUAUCUUCUUCUUUCUGGUGUCUGUGCCCCGAUUUUGCUGUGGCAGAGUUUCCGUUCCCCCUGGGGAUACAGUCUCGCGAGGCUGUCCAUCAAGGUCCCCGUCCUCUGUGAGCCAGCAGGUGAUCCAAGCUUGGCCAAUCAGCUAUCCCAAGAUGGGCUGGGACACCAUCUUCAUGGAUGAAUGACGAAGACUAAAACUACUUGAAGCUUAUGUAACCCAGUAGCAGUAUCCGAUAUGACGUUCCAUCAUUUCUUGUCACCAAGAGCCCUGUAUCUUCCCUAAUUUCUGUCCUUAGGCGAACUACUGGUCACCUAAGACAUUUGCUUUCUGCUUAAGGUGGUGCAUCCAUUUUAGUUGUCUGUAGCCCGUUCACCCUCACUGGGUGCGCUUCCUCCAGUGGGGCCGUGGGGCUAAAGGCAAAAGAGACACCGCCCUGGACCACUGCCUGCAGCCCACCCCCUGCUCCGAACCAGGAGCGUGUACUCACCAGCUGG